GGUGUUGAUUGCGAUGAGGGUCCACCCGUUCCCAUCCCGAACACGGAAGUUAAGCUCAUCUGCGCCGAAGAUACUUGUCUGGAGACGGACCGGAAAAAUAGGUAACGCC
RNAcentral lists this ribosomal RNA (109 nucleotides) under pig gut metagenome. The record is from RNAcentral.